AUGGAAAAUUGCAUUUUUGGAAUUUGCAAUUAUGCGAUGGGCAAACAACGGGAAUUGAACCCGCGCAAGGUGGAUUCACAAUCCACUGCCUUGAUCCACUUGGCUACAUCUGCCCCUUAUCCAGCUGAAGGAUUUUUUCUUUUUUCCAUUAUUCAUUAUUCUAUUUAUUCCAACCUUCGUACUUUGAUCGAGAUAUUGGACAUAUAA
This 207-nucleotide transfer RNA is filed under the name Triticum aestivum (bread wheat). RNAcentral describes it as "partial small subunit ribosomal RNA". Lineage: Eukaryota; Viridiplantae; Streptophyta; Magnoliopsida; Poales; Poaceae. The record is from RNAcentral.